This is a long non-coding RNA of Siniperca chuatsi (mandarin fish), 7492 nucleotides long. RefSeq lists it as uncharacterized. NCBI's taxonomy places the organism in Eukaryota, Metazoa, Chordata, Actinopteri, Centrarchiformes, Sinipercidae. The transcript has 2 exons. The record is from RefSeq and is a predicted model, not a curated record.
ACAAAAUUUCAUAACGAUCCAUCUGAUAUUUGUUAAGAUAUUUCAGUCUUGACCAAAGUGGUGGAAGGACAGACCGACAUUCAUAGAGCUAUGCCACUAGCAUGGCUAAAAACAAUGAAAUAGUAAUGCAACACAUUAGCAAAACUUACAGGCAAAACCAGAAGGAAAAAACAAUUAUAUAUACAACUAUAAAACUAAAUACAGUAUUAUUCACAAUAUGAAAUGUGAGUUUACCCUCAUAAUAACCUGUGUCUAAUGCCUGGAUGAUCUACAUCUGGACUUCCUCUGUAUUUUCACAUACAGUAUAUGAGGUUGGAUGUUAAGGUCACUAAUUCACAGGCAGUAACUUUGUGUCAGACUUCAUAUUAAAUCCUGUCCAUGCUCAGCCUAUGGCAUCUCUCUGAAGCCCAAACAUUUUGACCUCUGACCUCCUGGGAGGUUUGGUUUACAGCCAGAGUUAACAGUGCUGAUAGCAUGCUGAGAACCUGCCCAUUUGAUCCAGGAGACAGCUUGCUCGGGACUGUUUUACAACCAGUGUCAUCCAGUAGAUUAUCAAAGAAAAGUUAAUUUAUAAUCCUGUAAAUAACCAUGUUCAUGUUUUGUUCCCAAUUUCCAUGAAUCCAUGGCAAUAUCCAGCCUAAAAUAGAAAGUAUGGGCACACAGCAACACUUACAUGAACUAGAUUUUCAAGAAUUGAUACAUAAAAUACGUAUUUAAUGAUCUGGUUUAGUACCAGAGGCAUGAUUAUAGUUAAGUGUGGUAGGUAAUGUCAUCUAGCAGUUAUGGGACACACGCAACACUUCUUGUAUAAUCUUGGACAGACGAGAGAGGAUUUAUAAACAUGACACAAGUCACUUUCUGUGUUUUACACAAGGCAGGACAAACUCUGCUCUGUGUUGUACUCGUGAAAAACAUUCUGGGACUUCUCAGUCGUGGAUGAACUGGUGGGGACUCCCAUUGUGGGCAUAGUGUGAUUAUUGGGGGUGGAAAAGAGCAUCAAAAUGUCCUGAUACAUUUACAAUCCUGAAAGUUGUGUUACUUUAUUAUAUAUUAUUGUUGAUUUUGGAAAUAGUAAUAAUAAAAAUCUUUCUAUGCCACUUUCUAAUAAGGCACCUUUUAUAAAAGGUUUAUAAGUAGUAACUAAUGGCUUUAUUAAUGAUUAAUAAAUUACUUUUUAAUGCUUUAUACAUCACUUACAAGCCAUUAAUAAGCACAACUAAUCCCUUUUUUCAAUUUGGUAAUAAUGCAGUAAUAAAUGUUGAUAAUACAUUAAUAAAUGCUCAUGGGUUUCUCACUUUCAAUAAUACCCUCUGGUCUAUAGUUGUAAAUACUAAUAGGUCAUUAAUAAACAUUUUGUACAAAAAUCCAUCCUGUCUGCAGUUGUGAAUGUUGUUAAGUUAAGUGGUAAAAGGUAAAUACCCACAAAAGGGAUUUUUCCUCAUAAAUCCUUUAUAAAAAAAGUGUCUUAUUGGAAACUGGUACUAAAAUCUUUACUUAAGGUCCACUUGCUAGCUUUCAGCUGCAUCUCACGGUCUUCAUAAGCAGAUGGAAUUUGCUCUUUUGUCAGGGAUGUGGCUCAGUUGUCAUCAUAUGACCUAAAUACAGAACUUUGGUCACAUGAUAACAAGUGGUCAUACAUAGGGAGAAAUUGUAACCAUGGACUCUGUUCAAAGAUAGUCUUUGGUGUUGGAUGAAAAUGGCCUAUUUGAUCUUUCUCCGGCCAUCCAUUGACUGCUGGUCGAUAACCCUUUAAUACUAAUGCUUUUGCAUAUUUGAGGCAAUUUACUACAUAUCAUGUAUACCAUUCACUACUGCUGACCUUCCAGGCAGCCAUUGGUUUCCAAUAGUGUAUUUCAGCUCAAUAUGAAAUUCAGCUUAGAUAAUGGAUGGCAGUGAACAACAUUUAUUUGUCAGGGUUAUUUUAUUGUUGUGUAGUAAUGCAGUGCAGACUUCUCAAAUCAAAAUAAGCUUCAUUUGUCGGAACUGUUUAAACAAACAAAAGGCAAAUGUGAAUGUUGUGAAAAGGAUAAUAUUUGGAAGCUACUUUCAUUGCAAAGUCUGUUGUUUAGCAGCUGAUUCAUAAGUCUUGGAUGUCACAGCUUCCCAACAGUGCAUGAACGCACCAUACUGGCACACAAAUCAGCCCAUGCUUGCAAUUGUAUAACCGUGCAACAAUAACAUAUAACAAAAAUAGGGAAGCAAACUAAAUGUUCACUUUGGUAGAUUAUGUCUCUCAAAAAAGUUUCAGAUCUCUCCAAGUUGAUUUAAAAAAACAAUAGCAUUAAUAUACUCAAAAAUCUAGGAGCUUUGGUUUGCUAUGGAAAAUGGUCAGCAGAAUGUAAAAUAUAUGUGACUUGUAGUGAAUUGGCAAAAUUAUGCAAAACCAUCAGUGUGACCUUUUGAGUAAAACUAAGCAGUAGCUUGUUAAGAAUGUAAAAGGUCAGUAAAAGUUACAUAUGAAUUAUCUCCUGCACUGCAAAAAGGAGCAGAAUACAGAGUUCAGUAUGUGGCAUGUUAAACAUUUUGUAACAAACAAGUAAAACCUUAAAAAAUAUAAUACUAUGAAACUCAUGUUCCUACUAAUAGAAGCUUAUUGUAUUCAUCUUUGUAUCAGAUUUUCCUAUGACAUGGAUAAUCACCAUAAUCUAAUCAGUGUAUUCAGACUCCAGAAUAAUUUGAGCCACUGAUGCAACAACUGAUUUGUAACACAGGACAUUCGUCAUUUUGGCAGCCAAAAACCCUUUUUAAAAAAUUGAAUUAAUUUCUAACUGCAACAACAUGGCAUAACUUUCUGUUGAUGAAUGAAUGUAAGUAAAUGGGAAUCCAUCUUAUCAGCUACUGAAACAACAACAUAUUUGGUCAAGGGCCAGUUCUGGUAUCCUUCUUACCAGAACUGGCCCUGGUUUAGCCUCGUCCCCAAACAGUUAACACUUGAUUUCAAUUUGCUUUCGGGAUAAUUUUUGCCCCCCUUAAUUGAGAUAGAAAACCAUGUUGUGCCAAGCUGAAACCAGCAGUGAUGCAGCGGUGCUUCGGAGGGAGUCUCGCUUAUGGACCAUCUGUCUUAUUGAUGGCCCAAAAUAUCUAAGCCCUCAAUUUGAUGUCACAAACUGAAAUCGAGGGCACAACAGAUAGGUGUUAUUUCAACAAGACAUAUUGCCUCCAAAAUGAUGGCAAUAGAUUUUUUUUUACAUAUGGGACAGCUAUUUCUAGGUCAAGAUCCCUUCUGGGUCAGACUAGAAACAUUUUAUUUUAAAAAUACAUGAACCCAAAGCUAUAAAUCAUUUGAACUCAAAAUGAUUUAAUGCAUGGUGAAUAUCUAUGUUUCAGUUAUUGAUAAAGGCAAUCAUUUAACUGAAUAUUGUGAAAGAUGUUAAUCUUGUUAACUGAAGUGACAAAUCUGUGCCUUAUGUCUCCUUACUGCUGCUAUUUAAUUAUAAUUAAUUCAUGAUGAAGUUGGACGGCAAUGGCGUUGCUAACUGGACAGUCAACAUCAUACAUGAUUUGUUGUUGUCUUCAACCACAAGCUCCAUUUUCACCAAAAUUUACCAUACGGAUGGAUUAGAUAAUGAUGUAUGAAUUUAAAAACACACCUUAUGGAUUUCAACUGUAAUGCUACCACAACUUGUGCAAACAGGAUUGAUGCAGAUACAAUUUAUAGCUGGCCAGUUCCUGAUGCAGUGUUUUAAAGCAGAUACAAAAUGAGUGAAUUUAAAACAUACAGUACAAGUAGCUAAGGGCAGUACUGCAGACAAAACAUACUUGAUUAUGUAAUGUAAAUUACUGACUGAAAAGCAAAUGGUACAAGUGCCAACAGGGAUUUACACAACAACAACAACACAAACGUGCAAUGUGUAGACUGCUUUAUCCAGGAAUACUGGAAUAUAUUCAGGUUCAAAGUCUUGGUAGCACUUUAAAUCCAAGUUUAUUUUGGUAUACAAGCUCUAACAAACAGUCUUUGAGUUUGUCUGCUCUCAGUGGAGCAGCUUCACAAAAUAUCAAACGAAGCCAUCACUGAUAAGCACUGUGAACGUCUGGUUUCUGGAUUUGGUAGUGAGUGGUCCAUAUCUAAAGCUGCCCAUGAUUAUUACUAAAAUAUUCUUUUGUAUGAAUUAUGCUAUAAUGCAUGACAUGAAAUUGCCGAGAUAACUGAACUGAUAUUUAGCAGCAACAUUGCAUAACGUCUUUGAUGCUGACUUUUGGUGGCGCCAAACAAAACAAUCAGUGUAUUUUAAGAAAAACACCAAAUCUAAUGGAACACCAUAAAGAGAAAAUAAAGGAGCCUUUCUGAUCAAACAAUGCUUUGUGAGAAUGAAGCUAAUAAGCUCUAAGUGUCUAUUAAGAGGGUUCCACAUUAACUACCUCAUCCCAGACUCUUUUACCACACGUUUAUUUCCCAAUUAGCAGUAAUCCUCUGAAUGGCUGGCAGAGGAUCUUGGUAGCCUCUCUGAAAUAGGCUACAAUUAGACGCAUUGUAUUGAAUUAGCAUUGUGGAGCCUGAAGUCGCGCUCCUGUGAGGGCUAGUGUUUUAUUUGUCACCUGGGAGCGCUGCUCUGAGGCCAGGUCACAACUCCACACAGCAGGGACCCUGUAAAUUGCCCGUUGCUGCCGCCUAGGCUGACCUGCAACAGGGCUGCCAUUCAACCAUCUUGUGAGGAAUGUCUCCUGCACCACUGGGGGGAGGGUUGAGCGGAAGUUAGAUGAGGUUUAAAGGGAACAGACGGAUGAACCGUGUGCGGACAGUGUUUCCUUUGAAAAGCCAUUCAAAGAAUCCUUUGACAGCGACUGUGUCAGCUGAUUACAAGUCCUUUGACUCUUUUCUCUGGUGUCUAAUGUGCUGAAACACUUCUUGAGAUUUUACAUACAAAACAUGAUCUACCUCUAAAAUCAGCUAUAACAUUAAAACGCUGCUGACAUGAUAAUGCAUCAGUAAUAAUAAUCCAAUAAUAUAAUAUCUAUAAUAAUAUAUAACAUUCUAAAAAGAGCCAUUGAACAUAAUGAGUACUUUUCAUUUUGAUAUAUUAAGUAUAUUCUGCUGAUUCUGUAAAGUAAAAUUCUGAAUGAAGGACUUUUACUUGUAUUUUAACACUGUGGUGUUACUACUUUUAUUUAAGUAAACAAACUGAAUGCUUAUUCCACCACUGGUCUUGUAUCAGUGGAAAAUAUCUGUUUGAUUUUUUAAACAUCAUUAAACUAACGUCAAUUGAACGGAAUGUCACUGACAGCUCUUAGCUAACUAGCAAGUUGAGCUAAUGUCAGCUAGCUAACGCCAUUUUUUCAUCAUUUCAGUCUAACAUUACAAUACUGCUACACAACACAGUGCUGAAGUUAUCAAAUGGCAAAUACUUAAAAAUAAUGCAAGUUAUACCCAUUUAUUCUGUUUAAAGCAUUGGAACUCAAAAAACCCGCAGCUCCUCAGACUUGAAGGCUGAUGGCUAGCUGAACCAGAAGAAUACAGUUUAUGUCUGUGCGAUUUCAUGCACCUCACAGCCAUGGUUUUAUGAAAUAAGUGUGUUUUUAUAUGAAAUUUAUUGAAAUUGACAACAUUAGAGAUAAAAACAUCUGUGUUCAGAUGUGCUUACAUAUACCCACUGGCUAGCUUACUUUUUAUCUCCCAUGACUUUAUGGGGCGGCUGUGACUUAGUCGUAGAGCGGGUCGUCCACCAAUCGGAAAGUUGCUGGUUUGUUGAAGUGUCCUUGGGCAAGACACUGAACCCCAAAUUGCUCCAGAGGGCUGUGCCUUCGGUGUGUGAGUGAUUAGAUUAGGUUUUAUGUUAUUAUGUCUAAUAAUGUUUCAGUUGUGAAAUUAAUAUCAUGCUCAUAGAAACAUUAUGACAACACCUCAUUACUACUUGGUGGAAUUGUUGUAAGGUUUUUACAUUAAUUAAACAAAUGUUCAUAAGGCCACAGGAGUCAGAAGAAGGAAAAUUCAGAGGUGAUUAAAGAGGUUAGUCGGGAUUUCUGAAAAAAGGCGUGAAACAGUCAGACUCGCUCUCUGCAGCCAAAAGCACCACGACUUGUGCGUCAUCAAAUUACCACGAGUGUUGCCAGUCUCAAUUGUAGGGUAACAUAAUGAGUGUGCUUUGCCGUAAUAACGAAUAAUUGCAAUUCUAAUAGCACGGCAUAUUUGUCUUUAGCUCUAUAUAGUUUCAUCAUACCUCCUGCUGUUUUUUCUUUCUUUCAGUUGUUUCUGUCCUAUCAGUAACCUUUCAGCCUGCUGAGACAAUAAUGUUAGAAGGCUGUAUUCACAUGACACACUACUGUAAGUGUCACAAGACACUACAGUGGUUGUAUGAGCCUGUGAUUACAUUCAUCCUUCUGCAGAACUACUAUCAUCAGCCCAUUCUCCUUUAUCCAAGCACAAAUGAUGAGAGAAACACUUGAGCAAGAGUUUCUCAGUCAGUUGAUACUUGCCUCCAGCUAACUGUGACAGUGAAUAGCCUGUGACUGGAGCACAAUUAGCUGCAGCAGCAGGGGGCUGAUCUUAACAAUGCUGUUGUUUUCCUCCUACCAUUGCGGUUGAGUUUUAUAGCCAUCCUAAGCACACAUUUUCACCUCUGUUUUGCAUUUACAAGGUACAUAGUCGGCGGAGACGUGAUGUAAGAAGUAAAGAAAGACAAAGACAAUAAAAUAUCACAUUUAUUAUUUAGUAUAGUUCAGCUGGUGGCAGCGUUCAUCACAUUCAGGAGGACAAAAUAUUUGAUUUGUAGUUUGCAUUGCUGGGAAAACUAUAUAAUGAACGUAUAUUUUCAGUCAGGUGUCAGGUUCAUGAAUGCAUCGAUGCUGCAGCAACCUGACAUAAGCAGCUAGGGGUGUAAUGAAAUGGCAUGUUGAGGUGACCUGUGCCAGCUUGUGGUUGGACCUGUGAGUUGUGUGUUGCCGGGUAGAAUCAGUGCAGUCAGGGACGAGAGUUGAAAGGGCGAGGGAGGUGGUGGCUGGAGUGCGGCGCGGAGCAGUCAAGGAUAGACCUCCAGUGUUUGUGAAGGGAGGGAGGCCGGCCAGCUCGGGUUCUGGGGGGACUGUGGGGCUCGUGGGCUGGCUGGGGUGGGGGGCAGCGGUGGUGGCAGGCAGGAGGGUUUUCUAACCAAGAGACUGUAACUCAUUGUAGCCUGACUCCACUGGCUUGGGUGGCAAAGAUCGUGAAGUCCUGGACAUUCAUCAACCUGCCGAGGAGGGCCGACUGACUGGAGCCAGGGUCUGUUUUCUUCCCCCCUUCUUCUCCCUCUCACUGUGUCAAUGGGAUCCAGUGCGACUGUGCCGAGGCAGCCGCCCUGAGGAGACAGACCUGGGCCUCAUGGGAGCUCAGCAGUACAAAUUUCCGUUUAUACCAGUGGCUGGGGCUGACGACACCGCAGCGCUCUACCCCACAGAUUGACGAGCCCUCAGAUGCCGAUUUACUGUACAUGGCAGCCACUCUGGAGCCGCCGCACAUCUGGAGUGGAGUACGCUUACUGAAAAACAGGGGCCAACCUUGGCCCAAACAAGUGUAGCAGAG